AUUUGGACAUUUUACAAUAGUGUCAUAAGGUAGAUAUUUUGGGGCCCAACAGUACAAUAAAAAUGGUCUAUAACGAUACUUUUAAAUAUCGGUACAGAUCAAAAAAAUUACUGCUAGCUAAAUUACCUACACUUUUAAAAAGUGUUGCUAUAUGUGGGGUCGCUAGGUAUAUAGUGACGGUUAAAGAGUGUCGGUAUAAGCCAAAAAGAGUGCUGCUAAUUUACUAACACUUAUUUAAGUAUUUAGCAACUGCCGGAACUCUACCUCGUUGGCUGCGGUGGCGGAGGAUGAGGAGAGGGAAGGGCUCUUCGUCUAGGAUUUCAGUGGAUUGAGUAAGGGGAGAAGGAGAGAUGGUAAUCGAUUUUUUUUUUUUUUCUUUUCUGUUUGUAAUCGGGCCGAAUGGGCUGGGUGGGAUGGAUUGAGUAGAGUAGCCUUUUAUUUUUAGUUGGAUUGGGCUUUUUAUUUAGGCAUUAGUAGAUUUUUUUUUAAGUUUUGGUAUAAAUUGGACACUUACACAAAAGUGUCCCAAACAUGUAUCGCUAUACCCUAAUUCUAUUGUAGUGCAAUUAUUUAUUUAUCUACAUUAAAUUACUACUGGUUAUAACUUAUAAUGCACGUGCAAUGCACAUCACAUUUAAUUAAAUUAUAUUUAUAUUUAUAUUUUAAAUUUAAAUUUUUAUUAGUGUUAUGUGUUUUUUUAUUAUUUGAUUUUUUUCCUAAAUUUAGUUUUUCU
Molecule: long non-coding RNA, 733 nt
Filed under: Ananas comosus (pineapple)
Lineage: Eukaryota; Viridiplantae; Streptophyta; Magnoliopsida; Poales; Bromeliaceae
Description: long non-coding RNA (ACOM_LNC007782)
Source: RNAcentral